GGGUUCUGAGAGGAAAGAUCCCCCCACACUUGGGACUGAGACACGGCCCAGACUCUCUACGGGAGGCAGCGAGUGAGGAAUAUUGGACAAUGGGGGCAACCCUGAUCCAGCCAUGCCGCGUGAAGGAUGAAGGCCCUACGGGUCGCAGACUUCUUUUGUCGCGGAGCAAUAAGGGCCACGAGUGGUCCGAUGAGAGUACGCGACGAAUAAGCAUCGGCUAACUCCGUGCCAGCAGCCGCGGUAAGACGGAGGAUGCGAGCGUUAUCCGGAUUUAUUGGGUUUAAAGGGUGCGCAGGCGGCGCGCCAAGUCGGCGGUGAAACCCCCGGGCUCAACCCGGGACCUGCCGUUGAUACUGGCGUGCUCGAGUCACCUUGCCGUGGGGGGAAUGAGUGGUGUAGCGGUGAAAUGCUUAGAUAUCACUCAGAACACCGAUUGCGAAGGCACCUCACGAAGGGUGAACUGACGCUCAGGCACGAAAGCGUAGGGAUCGAACAGGAUUAGAUACCCUGGUAGUCCACGCCGUAAACGAUGAUUGCUAACUGCCGGCGACACACUGUCGGUGGCCAAGCGAAAGCGAUAAGCAAUCCACCUGGGGAGUACGACCGCAAGGUUGAAACUCAAAGGAAUUGACGGGGGCCCGCACAAGCGGAGGAUCAUGUGGUUUAAUUCGAUGAUACGCGAGGAACCUUACCCGGGCUCGAACGGCGGCCGGACGACCCAGAGAUGGGGAGGCCCUCCGGGGCGGCCGUCGAGGUGCUGCAUGGUUGUCGUCAGCUCGUGCCGUGAGGUGUCGGCUCAAGUGCCAUAACGAGCGCAACCCUUGCCGUCAGUUGCCAGCACGCAAUGGUGGGGACUCUGGCGGGACUGCCACCGCAAGGUGAGAGGAGGGGGGGGAUGACGUCAAAUCAGCACGGCCCUUACGUCCGGGGCGACACACGUGAUACAAUGGUGGGUACAGAGGGAUGCCACCCGGCGACGGGGAGCGGAUCUCGAAAGCCCAUCUCAGUUCGGAUCGGAGUCUGCAACCCGACUCCGUGAAGCUGGAUUCGCUAGUAAUCGCGCAUCAGCCAUGGCGCGGUGAAUACGUUCCCGGGCCUUGUACACACCGCCCGUCAAGCCA
Molecule: ribosomal RNA, 1121 nt
Filed under: uncultured bacterium
Lineage: Bacteria
Description: bacterial SSU rRNA
Rfam family: Bacterial small subunit ribosomal RNA
Source: RNAcentral